AUGACUAUGUCAAUCAUCCCCAUCGGUUUUCCUGAGAGUGCAGUGCAGUCCUCAUCUUCUGAGCUCUCAGAUGAGCUCAGCACUGCCCUCGCUGCAGGACGGUGGUGGGCAAUAAUGGAGGUCUCCUCUCCUAUAUCUGAGGAGCCUGAAUAUGGAGACCUCACCUCACUCAGGUUCCCACACUCAGGCUUCUCAGAAUCAACACUGAAUACCAAGGAACCUUGGAGGCAGAAGAAGACAAAGAGUACACCCAUGCCUCCUAGGUCCCUAAAGGGAGCACCUGUGCCUGCCUUUGCUGAGAAGAGGGACCACACCUCAUCACUGGUCUUCAACAAUGCAUCGGAGAAGGCUGAUUCUCAGCACUCAGGCUUCUCAGAUGCAAAGCUCAAGACCACAGAGCAACAGAGGAAGUGGAGGCAGAAGAAGCCUCAGGGACCACCUGUGCUUGCUGGGUCUGAGAAGGCUGAGUAUGGGAAUUCAAUGAAGACCACUAAGCAGGUGAGGCAAGAGUGGAGACAGAAGAAGCCUCAGGGACCACCUGUGCCUGGUGACUCCCCCCAGGGACAUCCUGUGCCCACUCGGUCCCAACAACGUGGAAAAAUAAGGAUCCCUGAGCAUCUGAGGCAGCACCUGCUACAGGCCGCCAAUGACCUGGGAGCAACUGUGCCUGCUAGGUCCCCACAGGGACCACCAGUUCCUACAAAGUCUCUACAGAGAGAACCUGUGCCUGCCUCAAAGGUGCAAAACUUAAAUACCCAUGAGCCACUAAGGCUACAGCAGAAGAAGCCUCAAGCCUCUUCUCACAAGGGAGCACCUGUACCCAACAAGACCCCAGAGAGGCAAAGGCUAAAAAUCCCUGUGCCGCUGAGGCAGGAGCUGCUGCAGGUGUCAUCUAGAGCCUCUACUGAAAAGGGAGCACCUGUGCCCCAAAAAACCCAGGAGAGGCAGAGGCUCAAGACGCCUGAGCUGUUAAAGCAGGAGCUGCUUCAGGUGUCACCCAGAGCCUCUUCUGAGAAGGGAGCACCCGUGCUCAUAAAGACUGCAGAGAGGCAAAGGCUCAAAAUACCAGAGCCACUGAGGAAGGAACUGCUCCAGAAGCCUCAAGCCUCUCCUGCAGAGGGUAAACCCAUGUCUUCCAAGUCCCCAAAGGAAGCACCUUUACCUGACAGGAACCCUGUUCAUACAGGGACCUCACAGGGAUCAGGAGUGCUCUCCAGUUCUCCACUGCCCACUGGGUGUCUGAGGGAAGCAGCAGUACCCACUAAAACCAUGAAGGCAGGAAAAAGGAGGCUUGCUGAGCAACUGAGCAUGCCUAUCUCUUCCACUGAAGGAUUACAUAUGCCCUCCAUGACCUCAAAAGUGGCACCUGUGUAUUCUGGGACCUUACAGGGAGCCCUUGUGACCAGAAGCUCCCCAAGACUGGAAGCAAACCCAAGAAUCACAGAGCAGCAGAAGCAGAAGCGCAGGGAGCAGUGGAGACAGCAGCAGAGACAGCGGAGGCAGCAGAUGGCAUUAGUAAGUUCUUUCCAUUUCUGA
Molecule: long non-coding RNA, 1536 nt
Filed under: Carassius auratus (goldfish)
Lineage: Eukaryota; Metazoa; Chordata; Actinopteri; Cypriniformes; Cyprinidae
Description: lncRNA (ENSCARG00000018372.1)
Source: RNAcentral